UCCUCUUGGCUGUGAUGGAAUGGCAGACUUCCCUUGAUUCUGAAGACCUUGACACUUCUGAGGACAAACCUGCUCUAACCCUGGGAUCCCUGAGCAACAUGACAGCAUGAGGUCCAGAUGGAAGGGAACAUCUGAGACCUGUCUGGACCAUCAAAGCCAUCCCCAGCCCCCAGGAGCCUACUGGAGGAGACACCAGCCUCGCCAAAACAAUUCUCCAUUGUGUUCU
This is a long non-coding RNA of Gorilla gorilla gorilla (western lowland gorilla), 226 nucleotides long. RefSeq lists it as uncharacterized. Lineage: Eukaryota; Metazoa; Chordata; Mammalia; Primates; Hominidae. The transcript is spliced from 3 exons. The record is from RefSeq and is a predicted model, not a curated record.